UACAGAGGGUGCAAGCGUUAAUCGGAAUUACUGGGCGUAAAGCGAGCGUAGUCGGUUAUUUAAGUCGGGUGUGAAAGCCCCGGGCUCAACCUGGGAAUUGCAUUCGAUACUGGAUAGCUAGAGUUCGGCAGAGGGAAGCGGAAUUUCCGGUGUAGCGGUGAAAUGCGUAGAUAUCGGAAGGAACAUCAGUGGCGAAGGCGACUUCCUGGCCUGUUCUUGACGCUGAGGCGCGAAAGCUAGGGUAGCAAACGGG
Molecule: ribosomal RNA, 253 nt
Filed under: uncultured bacterium
Lineage: Bacteria
Description: partial 16S ribosomal RNA
Rfam family: Bacterial small subunit ribosomal RNA
Source: RNAcentral